GCCUUUCGAAAGAAAGAUUAAUACCCGAUGGCAUAGUUCUUCCGCAUGGUGAACUAUUAAAGAAUUUCGGUCAUCGAUGGGGAUGCGUUCCAUUAGGUUGUUGGCGGGGUAACGGCCCACCAAGCCUUCGAUGGAUAGGGGUUCUGAGAGGAAGGUCCCCCACAUUGGAACUGAGACACGGUCCAAACUCCUACGGGAGGCAGCAUG
This 207-nucleotide ribosomal RNA is filed under the name uncultured bacterium. RNAcentral's name for it is "partial 16S ribosomal RNA". It matches the Rfam family "Bacterial small subunit ribosomal RNA", at positions 146 to 353 of the family's 1533-position model. The record is from RNAcentral.